GACGAACGCUGGCGGCAUGCCUAACACAUGCAAGUCGAACGAGAAAGUUCCUUCGGGAGCGAUUAAAGUGGCGCACGGGUGAGUAACGCGUAGACAAUCUGCCCUUCAGUCUGGGACAACUUUUCGAAAGGAGAGCUAAUACCGGAUAACAAUGUUUAACCUAAGUUAAGUAUUUGAAAGCUUUAUGUGCUGAAGGAGGGGUCUGCGUCCCAUUAGCUAGUUGGUAAGGUAAAGGCUUACCAAGGCGACGAUGGGUAGCGGGUUUGAGAGGACGAUCCGCCACACUGGAACUGAGACACGGUCCAGACUCCUACGGGAGGCAGCAGUGGGGAAUAUUGCACAAUGGAGGCAACUCUGAUGCAGCAAUGUCGCGUGAGUGAAGAAGGCCCUUGGGUCGUAAAGCUCUUUUAUGGGGGAAGAUGAUGACGGUACCCCAAGAAUAAGCACCGGCUAACUAUGUGCCAGCAGCCGCGGUAAUACAUAGGGUGCGAGCGUUGUUCGGAAUUACUGGGCGUAAAGGGCGCGCAGGCGGAAUAGUAAGUCGGAGGUGAAAGCCCGGGGCUCAACCCCGGAGGGUCCUUCGAAACUGCUAAUCUAGAGAGGGUCAGGGGCCGGCAGAAUUCCUGGUGUAGGGGUGAAAUUCGUAGAUAUCAGGAGGAAUACCGGUGGCGAAGGCGGCCGGCUGGGGCCACUCUGACGCUGAGGCGCGAAAGCGUGGGGAGCAAACAGGAUUAGAUACCCUGGUAGUCCACGCCGUAAACGAUGAGCACUGGACGUCCGGAGGGUUCGACCCUUCUGGGUGUUUCAGCUAACGCAUUAA
RNAcentral lists this ribosomal RNA (820 nucleotides) under uncultured bacterium. Its description in RNAcentral is "bacterial SSU rRNA". It matches the Rfam family "Bacterial small subunit ribosomal RNA", at positions 28 to 863 of the family's 1533-position model. The record is from RNAcentral.